This 63-nucleotide transfer RNA is filed under the name Uperoleia rugosa (wrinkled toadlet). Its description in RNAcentral is "partial tRNA-Gln". It matches the Rfam family "tRNA", at positions 1 to 63 of the family's 71-position model. From Rfam's summary of the family: Transfer RNA (tRNA) molecules are approximately 80 nucleotides in length. Their secondary structure includes four short double-helical elements and three loops (D, anti-codon, and T loops). The record is from RNAcentral. Lineage: Eukaryota; Metazoa; Chordata; Amphibia; Anura; Myobatrachidae.
UAGAGAGUAGUAAAAUGGGAUUACAGGAGGCUUUGAUUCUCCAGAUGUAGGUUCGAUUCCUAC